RNAcentral lists this ribosomal RNA (492 nucleotides) under uncultured bacterium. RNAcentral describes it as "partial 16S ribosomal RNA". It matches the Rfam family "Bacterial small subunit ribosomal RNA", at positions 29 to 507 of the family's 1533-position model. The record is from RNAcentral.
AGUGAACGCUGGCGGCAGGCCUAACACAUGCAAGUCGAGCGGAAGCACGGUAAGAGCUCGUUCUUACGGGUGGCGAGGGGCGGAUGGGUCAGGAAUACAUCCCAUUCUUCUUUGUCUGGGGUGAUAACGGGGGGCCACUUACGCUAACAGCGCAUAUGAUGAACGGGGGGAAUCAGGGGACCUACGGAUCUUGGGUGACCCUAUGAGCCGAUGUCGGAUUAGCUAGUUGGUGGGGUAAAGGCCCACCAAGGCGACGAUCCGUAGCUGGUCUGAGAGGAUGAUCAGCCACACUGGAACUGAGACACGGUCCAGACUCCUACGGGAGGCAGCAGUGGGGAAUAUUGGACAAUGGGCGAAAGCCUGAUCCAGCCAUGCCGCGUGGGUGAAGAAGGUCUUCGGAUUGUAAAGCCCUUUUAUUAGGGAAGAAGAGCAGUAAGUUAAUACCUCGCUGUUUUGACGGUACCCAAAGAAUAAGCACCGGCUAACUUCGUG